Molecule: ribosomal RNA, 443 nt
Filed under: uncultured bacterium
Lineage: Bacteria
Description: partial 16S ribosomal RNA
Rfam family: Bacterial small subunit ribosomal RNA
Source: RNAcentral
CCUACGGGAGGCAGCAGUGGGGGAUAUUGGACAAUGGGGGAAACCCUGAUCCAGCGACGCCGCGUGAGUGAAGAAGUAUUUCGGUAUGUAAAGCUCUAUCAGUAGGGAAGAAAGAAAUGACGGUAUCUGAGUAAGAAGGCCCGGCUAACUACGUGCCAGCAGCCGCGGUAAUACGUAGGGGGCAAGCGUUAUCCGGAAUUACGGGGGGUAAAGUGAGUGUAGGCGGGAAUGGAAGUCUGGAGUGAAAGUCGGGGGCCCAAACCCCGGACUGCUCUGGAAACUGUGUAACUGGAGUGCAGGAGAGGCAGGCGGAAUGCCUGGUGUAGCGGUGAAAUGCGUAGAUAUUAGGAAGAACACCAGUGGCGAAGGCGGCCUACUGGACUGUAACUGACGUUGAGGCUCGAAAGCGUGGGGAGCGAACAGGAUUAGAUACCCGUGUAGUC